Molecule: small nucleolar RNA, 106 nt
Organism: Dioscorea cayenensis subsp. rotundata (Guinea yam)
Lineage: Eukaryota; Viridiplantae; Streptophyta; Magnoliopsida; Dioscoreales; Dioscoreaceae
Source: RefSeq, a predicted model, not a curated record
AAUCCAUGAUACGGGCACCACCUAAGAAAGUCCUUGAGUCAUUCACGUGCCUCAAACAGUGUUUCUUAUUUUCCUGUUUAAAUGCUGAGAUCUCCUACCUGAUAUU